CGGCGGACGGGUGAGUAACACGUGGGUAACCUACCUAUAUGACUGGGACAACUUCGGGAAACCGGAGCUAAUACCGGAUAAGAUAUCGAACCGCAUGGUUCGAUAGUGAAAGAUGGUUUUGCUAUCACUUAUAGAUGGACCCGCGCCGUAUUAGCUAGUUGGUGAGGUAACGGCUCACCAAGGCAACGAUACGUAGCCGACCUGAGAGGGUGAUCGGCCACNCUGGAACUGAGACACGGUCCAGACUCCUACGGGAGGCAGCAGCC
RNAcentral lists this ribosomal RNA (266 nucleotides) under uncultured Staphylococcus sp. Its description in RNAcentral is "partial 16S ribosomal RNA". It matches the Rfam family "Bacterial small subunit ribosomal RNA", at positions 96 to 355 of the family's 1533-position model. The record is from RNAcentral. Lineage: Bacteria; Bacillati; Bacillota; Bacilli; Caryophanales; Staphylococcaceae.